Cyprinus carpio (common carp) is the source of this 477-nucleotide long non-coding RNA. NCBI's taxonomy places the organism in Eukaryota, Metazoa, Chordata, Actinopteri, Cypriniformes, Cyprinidae. The record is from Ensembl.
GGAUUAUGGAGUUGCAGCACUGAACACAUUGCUAUACAAAUUAACUUUUCCUCCCUGUGCUUUCUAGUAAAAGCCAGGCAGCCUCCCCCCGGGGAAGGAAGUCAGCAAGCUCCUUUGCAACACACUCUCUGGUUCACAGGGUUCCAGUUUGAUCAGCCUUCCAUAGGGGGCUUUGCAGCCUGACUGGAGCAUGUGUCACAAUGGAAAGCAGCAACAUCUGGUAACAGACAAUGAGAUAUCAGAGAAGUGUGGCAGCACAACCUUGGAUGAAACUGGAAAUCAGGCAUGAAGCAAGAAAGGAGGGGAGCAACCAACCAGCCUCAGAUGCCAUUAAGAAAGGUGCUGCACUUUUUCUAAGUGUCAAUUGUUUUUGUGUCUCUUGAAGUAUAGAUGAUGUUUGAAUUCAGAGUAUUAAGUCCUGUGCCUGCUGUGUUAAAUUAUGGCCUGUGAGCGACUGGGUGGGGGUAAUCAAUGGCA